This is a small nucleolar RNA of Malania oleifera, 107 nucleotides long. The record is from RefSeq and is a predicted model, not a curated record. NCBI's taxonomy places the organism in Eukaryota, Viridiplantae, Streptophyta, Magnoliopsida, Santalales, Ximeniaceae.
AAUCCAUGGUAUGGACAUAUAUUCAUCAAAUCCUUAAAUCUCUCCUACCAAGCUUGGAAGGUCUCAUCACCUUUCUGCAUGAACUAACUAAUAUGCUUCUUCAGGUA